AUUGAACGCUGGCGGCAGGCCUAACACAUGCAAGUCGAGCGGAUGAAGGGAGCUUGCUCCUGGAUUCAGCGGCGGACGGGUGCGUAAUGCCUAGGAAUCUGCCUGGUAGUGGGGGAUAACGUCCGGAAACGGGCGCUAAUACCGAAUACGUACUGUGGGAGAAAGUGGGGGAUCUUCGGACCUCACGCUAUCAGCAGAGCCUAGGUCGGAUUAGCUAGUUGGUGGGGUAAAGGCAUACCAAGGCGACGAUCCGUAACUGGUCUGAGAGGAUGAUCAGUCACACUGGAACUGAGACACGGUCCAGACUCCUACGGGAGGCAGCAGUGGGGAAUAUUGGACAAUGGGCGAAAGCCUGAUCCAGCCAUGCCGCGUGUGUGAAGAAGGUCUUCGGAUUGUAAAGCACUUUAAGUUGGGAGGAAGGGCAGUAAGUUAAUACCUUGCUGUUUUGACGUUACCAACAGAAUAAGCACCGGCUAACUUCGUG
This 484-nucleotide ribosomal RNA is filed under the name uncultured bacterium. RNAcentral's name for it is "partial 16S ribosomal RNA". It matches the Rfam family "Bacterial small subunit ribosomal RNA", at positions 30 to 507 of the family's 1533-position model. The record is from RNAcentral.